Molecule: long non-coding RNA, 674 nt
Organism: Bombyx mori (domestic silkworm)
Lineage: Eukaryota; Metazoa; Arthropoda; Insecta; Lepidoptera; Bombycidae
Exons: 2
Source: RefSeq, a predicted model, not a curated record
UUAAGAUGUUAUCGUGGUAGUUAACGUCUUGUUUCUUUUUAUCUGAUCUAUCGCAAACAAUCGCACAGGAAGUAGUUUUAUUGUUUAUCAAGCCAACGAUUCGUGUUAUAUAGUUGAACUGUGUCCAUUAGACGGUAAUCUAUUUUCAAAGCUGUAAGAAGAUGAAGCGUUCCAUUAUUUUGGUCCUUUUUACUGCUUACUUACUAAAUUAUAGUUACGCUCAGGACCCGCCAGCUCCCCCUCAACCACCUGAAGCAGAAAUUUUCAGUGACUAUUCGCAUACCUUAGGGAGGGUUGUUAGACAAAUGCCAAAAAUGCCAUCACCACCUCCACCACCACAAAUGCCUAACUGGUUCGAGUUUAAUUCACGUAUGAAACGAGAUGCGAAAGGUGUCGGCGGGUAUAUGCCGACUAGAAAAGGAUAAUAUUCGAUUACACUUGACAACAAACUGGACCCUUAUAUUGAUGAACCUGGCUUGUGUUAUACGUUUAAGUUUUGUUUUCUAAAUAUUAGAUAUGGUGUUUGGUUUAUUUAGUAUGUAAGGUAAAAUGUUGGUUGCAGCAAAAUCAAUGUCACCUGAUAAAUAAAUAAAAACUGACAAUUUUAGUAUCAGAAAUUAGAUCAAAGAUAUUUGACAUGAAAAACAAUUUAAUAAAGUUUCUGUUGAAGUUAA